Molecule: ribosomal RNA, 429 nt
Filed under: uncultured bacterium
Lineage: Bacteria
Description: bacterial SSU rRNA
Rfam family: Bacterial small subunit ribosomal RNA
Source: RNAcentral
UGGGGAAUAUUGGACAAUGGGCGCAAGCCUGAUCCAGCCAUACCGCGUGGGUGAAGAAGGCCUUCGGGUUGUAAAGCCCUUUUGUUGGGAAAGAAAACUUGCGGGCUAAUACCCGGCAAGUCUGACGGUACCCAAAGAAUAAGCACCGGCUAACUUCGUGCCAGCAGCCGCGGUAAUACGAAGGGUGCAAGCGUUACUCGGAAUUACUGGGCGUAAAGCGUGCGUAGGUGGUCGUUUAAGUCUGUUGUGAAAGCCCUGGGCUCAACCUGGGAACUGCAGUGGAAACUGGACGACUAGAGUGUGGUAGAGGGUAGCGGAAUUCCCGGUGUAGCAGUGAAAUGCGUAGAGAUCGGGAGGAACAUCCAUGGCGAAGGCAGCUACCUGGACCAACACUGACACUGAGGCACGAAAGCGUGGGGAGCAAACAGG